GUCUUGGCUGUAAACGGUGCACGUUUGCUGUAAGAGGAAUCGACCCCUCUUGUGGCGAAGCUAACGCGUUAAACGUGCCGCCUGGGAAGUACGGUCGCAAGAUUAAAACUCAAAGAAAUUGACGGGGGCCUGCACAAGCGGUGGAGUAUGUGGCUUAAUUCGAUGCAACGCGAAGAACCUUACCUGGCCUUGACAUGCAUAUAGUAGAAGGGUGAAAGCCUGACGAGGUAGCAAUACCAGUAUGCACAGGUGCUGCAUGGCUGUCGU
This 267-nucleotide ribosomal RNA is filed under the name uncultured bacterium. Its description in RNAcentral is "partial 16S ribosomal RNA". It matches the Rfam family "Bacterial small subunit ribosomal RNA", at positions 793 to 1055 of the family's 1533-position model. The record is from RNAcentral.